Molecule: ribosomal RNA, 703 nt
Filed under: uncultured bacterium
Lineage: Bacteria
Description: bacterial SSU rRNA
Rfam family: Bacterial small subunit ribosomal RNA
Source: RNAcentral
GGGAUUGCUUUGGAAACUGUAUAGCUAUGAGUGCAUGAGAGGUAAGUGGAAUUCCUAGUGUAUGGGUGAAAUGCGUAGAUAUUAGGAGGAACACCAGUGGCUAAUGCGGCUUACUGGACUGUAACUGACUUUGAGGCUCCAAAGCGUGCGGGGCAAACAGGAUUAUAUACCCUGGUAUUCCGCGCCGGAAACGAUGAUUACUAGGUGUCCGGGGCUAUAACCCUUCGGUGCCGUCUCAAACGCAAUAAGUAAUCCACCUGGGGAGUACUGUCGCCAGAGUGAAACUCAAAGGAAUUGACGGGGACCCGCACAAGCGGUGGAGCAUGUGGUUUAAUUCUGCCCCACCUCGAUAACCUUACCUGGUCUUGACAUCCCUCUGACCGGUCUGUAAUGAGACUCUUCCUUCGGGACAGAUGACACAGGUGGUGCAUGGUUGUCGUCUGCUCGUGCCGUGAGAUGUUGCGUUAAGUCCCGCAUUGAGUUUAACCCUUAUGGAUGUUUUCACCGCGGAAAGGCUAAGUCUCUUUUGAUACUGCCCGGGAGUAUUUCGACGAAGGUGGGUACUACUUUCUAUUCAUCGUGCCCUAUAUGAGCUGGUCUACCCGUUUGGAUACCCUGGCUUAUACGGCUCAACGCCAAUGUACGAGCUGGGGAGCUAUCUCCCCAAAUCGGUUCUAUGUUCGGAUUCUGGGCAGUUACCCGC